Molecule: ribosomal RNA, 663 nt
Filed under: Limosilactobacillus reuteri
Lineage: Bacteria; Bacillati; Bacillota; Bacilli; Lactobacillales; Lactobacillaceae
Description: bacterial SSU rRNA
Rfam family: Bacterial small subunit ribosomal RNA
Source: RNAcentral
ACGGGCCCGGGACACUGAUUGAUGGUGCUUGCACCUGAUUGACGUUGGAUCACCAGUGAGUGGCGGACGGGUGAGUAACACGUAGGUAACCUGCCCCGGAGCGGGGGAUAACAUUUGGAAACAGAUGCUAAUACCGCAUAACAACAAAAGCCACAUGGCUUUUGUUUGAAAGAUGGCUUUGGCUAUCACUCUGGGAUGGACCUGCGGUGCAUUAGCUAGUUGGUAAGGUAACGGCUUACCAAGGCGAUGAUGCAUAGCCGAGUUGAGAGACUGAUCGGCCACAAUGGAACUGAGACACGGUCCAUACUCCUACGGGAGGCAGCAGUAGGGAAUCUUCCACAAUGGGCGCAAGCCUGAUGGAGCAACACCGCGUGAGUGAAGAAGGGUUUCGGCUCGUAAAGCUCUGUUGUUGGAGAAGAACGUGCGUGAGAGUAACUGUUCACGCAGUGACGGUAUCCAACCAGAAAGUCACGGCUAACUACGUGCCAGCAGCCGCGGUAAUACGUAGGUGGCAAGCGUUAUCCGGAUUUAUUGGGCGUAAAGCGAGCGCAGGCGGUUGCUUAGGUCUGAUGUGAAAGCCUUCGGCUUAACCGAAGAAGUGCAUCGGAAACCGGGCGACUUGAGUGCAGAAGAGGACAGUGGAACUCCAUGUGUAGCGUGUGU